CACACACGCGCACAUGGCUUUUUCCGCAAGUUUUUUUCUCCGGGGGCAUGCUUGGUGAUAGAAGGAAAGGACUUAUUUCUAUCGUUAGAAGAUAUAGGUCCUGGUUAGCCCUGACCAUUAUCCGAUCGCUAAGACGCUUGCACACUCCCUCAAAGCUCCGUAAAUUUUCCCUCCAUGGGUAGAUAAUCCGUCCGGCAUGUAAAUCCUGGGGUAUGCCCACAGCUUUAAUGAAUAAAAUGGGUAGAAAAUGAAUCUGUUUAAGUCAUAAGUAAAGGCCUUUCAUAAAGAGGCUGUCAUGAUUGACUGUGGCCCAUAUUUAACACGUAUUGCUUGUUACAUAAGACCCCUGUUGUACAUUGAAUAUCCACUAGCAGAUUUGUGUAGCAUACAUCUCCACUGUAUCGGUCAUGUUCCUGUGGUCUUUUUAAAAGUCAAUAAACAUAUGUGUAAAAUUUACACUUUUGUUUCACUGUAGAUUUGUUUAAGCCCACCUAGAAACACCUGAUUUAUCCCACAGCAUUAAUGAAUAAGCUGUGUAGAAAAUGAAUCUGUUUAAGUCAUAAGUAAAGGCCUUUCGAAAAAGAGGCUGUCUUGAUUGACUGUGGCCCAUAUUUAACACGUAUUGCUUGUUACAUAAGACCCCUGUUGUACAUUGAAUAUCCAAUAGCCGAUUUUUGGAGCAUCUCCACUAUAUCUGUCAUGUUACUGUGGUCUUUUUAAAAGUCAAUAAACAUGUGUGUAAAAUGUACACUUUUGUUUCACUGUAGAUUUGUUUAAGCCCACCUAGAAACACCUGAUUUAUCCCACAGCAUUAAUGAAUAAGCUGGGUAUAAAAUUAUUCUGUUUAAGUUAUAAGUAAAGGCCUUUCCUAAAGAGGCUGUCAUGAUUGACUGUGGCCCAUAUUUAACACGUAUUGCUUGUUACAGAAGACCACUGUUGAACAUUGAAUAUCCAUUCAUCCCUGUUACACCUUUAUGUGUUGGCUCUCUAUGUCUGUACAUAGGGUGAAAUGCGUUUCACUAAAGUUAUUAUACCCUAAACCUAAACCUGAAAUUACAUUUAGGAUCUUUCUUUGGGGUUCUAAUCUCCCCGGUGUACAUGCACCGAACAACCAUAGGCUGGAGCCACCUGGAAGCUCGGUGCAUGUACAUAUAAAGACAACUAAAUAGGAAACUCAACAGUGUGUUAGGCCUAGAAACAUUAUUUAGAUGGCUGUUUUAUUGUUGUUGAAAGCUUGAAAUGUCCACAAUGCGAAGGGACCUUGUUUCUAACACACACACACAUACACACACACACACACACACACACACACACACACACACACACACAUACACUCCAGCACACGCACGCACACACACGCGAGCACAUGGCUUUUUCCGAAAGUUUUUUCUCAGGGACAGACUGCGCUAAGAGUGAACAAACGAGAGAGUUCAUGACGUGAUCCAGGGGCCUGGUGUAGCCAACCACCAUUAUCAGUGUCCAAGUCACCAUCAAACUGCCUGGCUCUCUUGCAAGGUCCUUCAAAACGCC
This is a long non-coding RNA of Salvelinus fontinalis (brook trout), 1530 nucleotides long. RefSeq lists it as uncharacterized. The transcript has 3 exons. Lineage: Eukaryota; Metazoa; Chordata; Actinopteri; Salmoniformes; Salmonidae. The record is from RefSeq and is a predicted model, not a curated record.